Molecule: ribosomal RNA, 472 nt
Filed under: uncultured bacterium
Lineage: Bacteria
Description: bacterial SSU rRNA
Rfam family: Bacterial small subunit ribosomal RNA
Source: RNAcentral
UGGGGAAUAUUGGACAAUGGGCGAAAGCCUGAUCCAGCCAUGCCGCGUGUGUGAAGAAGGUCUUCGGAUUGUAAAGCACUUUAAGUUGGGAGGAAGGGCAGUAAGUUAAUACCUUGCUGUUUUGACGUUACCGACAGAAUAAGCACCGGCUAACUCUGUGCCAGCAGCCGCGGUAAUACAGAGGGUGCAAGCGUUAAUCGGAAUUACUGGGCGUAAAGCGCGCGUAGGUGGUUUGUUAAGUUGGAUGUGAAAGCCCCGGGCUCAACCUGGGAACUGCAUCCAAAACUGGCAAGCUAGAGUACGGUAGAGGGUGGUGGAAUUUCCUGUGUAGCGGUGAAAUGCGUAGAUAUAGGAAGGAACACCAGUGGCGAAGGCGACCACCUGGACUGGUACUGACGCUGAGGUGCGAAAGCGUGGGGAGCAAACAGGAUUAGAUACCCGAGUAGUCCCUGAGCGGGCUGGCAAGGCGCAU